GAUGAAGAACGUAGUGAAAUGCGAUACGUAAUGUGAAUUGCAGAAUUCAGUGAAUCAUCGAGUCUUUGAACGCACAUUGCGCCCCCUGGUAUUCCGGGGGGCAUGCCUGUCCGAGCGUCAUUGCUGCCCUCAAGCACGGCUUGUGUGUUGGGCCUCCGUCCUCCUCCCGGGGGACGGGCCCGACAGGCAGCGGCGGCACCGCGUCCGGUCCUCGAGCGUAUGGGGCUUCGUCACCCGCUCUUGUAGGCCCGGCCGGCGCUUGCCGACACAUCAAUCUUUUUUCCAGGUUGACCUCGGAUCAGGUAGGGAUACCCGCUGAACUUAAGCAUAUCAAUAAGCGGAGGA
Molecule: unclassified non-coding RNA, 345 nt
Filed under: soil metagenome
Description: partial contains 5.8S ribosomal RNA, internal transcribed spacer 2, and large subunit ribosomal RNA
Rfam family: 5.8S ribosomal RNA (bases 1-120)
Source: RNAcentral